GACGAACGCUGGCGGCGUGCUUAACACAUGCAAGUCGAACGAUGAACCCGGAGCUUGCUCCGGUGGAUUAGUGGCGAACGGGUGAGUAACACGUGAGCAAUCUGCCCUUGACUCUGGGAUAACUGCGGGAAACUGUAGCUAAUACCGGAUACGACACCUUGGGGCAUCCCGGGGUGUGGAAAGAAUUUCGGUCAAGGAUGAGCUCGCGGCCUAUCAGCUUGUUGGUGAGGUAAAGGCUCACCAAGGCGACGACGGGUAGCCGGCCUGAGAGGGUGACCGGCCACACUGGAACUGAGACACGGUCCAGACUCCUACGGGAGGCAGCAGUGGGGAAUAUUGCACAAUGGGCGAAAGCCUGAUGCAGCAACGCCGCGUGAGGGAUGACGGCCUUCGGGUUGUAAACCUCUUUUAGCAGGGAAGAAGCGAAAGUGACGGUACCUGCAGAAAAAGCACCGGCUAACUACGUGCCAGCCGCCGCAGUAA
RNAcentral lists this ribosomal RNA (483 nucleotides) under uncultured bacterium. RNAcentral's name for it is "partial 16S ribosomal RNA". It matches the Rfam family "Bacterial small subunit ribosomal RNA", at positions 28 to 523 of the family's 1533-position model. The record is from RNAcentral.